Long non-coding RNA from Oreochromis niloticus (Nile tilapia), 844 nucleotides. RefSeq lists it as uncharacterized. The record is from RefSeq and is a predicted model, not a curated record. NCBI's taxonomy places the organism in Eukaryota, Metazoa, Chordata, Actinopteri, Cichliformes, Cichlidae. The transcript is spliced from 3 exons.
CUGCGAGUGCUCAGUCCAAGUUGGGCAAGUUGGUGUUUUAAAUUUCUUUCUAUGAAAGUCUGAUACGGGUCCCCCUAAACUUCUGUUAGAACGGUGGGAAACAUUGCUCCUGUGAGAACAGUAUAGUGGACUUCACCGCCACUGACCCACAUUUAUUAGGGUGUGACACGAACUUGUGGACAGAGUACCGAGCUGCUGCUUUGCCAGGUGGAUUUCUGGCUGCGGGCAAAGGACCCGACACAUCAGUGUGUUUUAAUUUGUUUUAUACUGGUGUAAUUCGACAGACUGUGACUGCUGCGGCUGUCGAUUUUGUUUGUUUCUUGUUUUAUUUUUCUGUAUCAGUAGGCAUUACAGAGAUUGAUUCUUGUAGUAUUUUAACCCUGUGUGUGUGUGUGUGUGUGUGUGCUUUUCACCGAAGCACUUCCAGCUUAAAAUAUCACAUGCCAUACUCUGCACAGAUGUUUCUGUAUACUGUGUACUGUCCACUUGAUUAUGGCGUUCCACCCUACUGUUAUGUGCUGGAUUAACUUAGGGGCAUCUUUACACAGCCUGUACCUGGGAUCUUAGCUGGUGUGGUAGUCCCCAGCCUCUACGCAUCUUUUGCUGAGAGCUGAUUCUGACUCUGAUUGCUCCUGUGCAGCCAUGAUUAGUGCUUCUGUGUUAUCUUUCAGUUCUUGCCUAACCCUCUGCAGGUACUUGGUGGUUGCAGCUUUCCUAGCAGCCUCUUCAUGGUUCACAUUUGCCUGUGUGAUUCCCAGAGGGUAGGUAUCCAUAGCUAGUCUUAUCAGUGAUCUGAAUGAGGGGGUUCACACCUAUGUAGAACAGCAGUGGGGACAGAGCACCU